GACGAACGUUGGCGGCGUGCUUAAUACAUGCAAGUCAACUGAAGCAGUGGUAGCAAUAUCGCUGUGGAGGUGGCGCACGGGUGAGUAACACGUAGGUAAUCUGCCUUCAGGUCUGGCAUAACUCCGGGAAACCGGGGCUAAUAGCAGAUGAUGCAGCGGCUCGACAUCGAGACAGUUGUUAAAGCUAUGGCGCCUGAAGAUGAGCCUGCGUCUGAUUAGCUAGUUGGCGGGGUAACGGCCCACCAAGGCAACGAUCAGUAGCUGGUCUGAGAGGAUGAUCAGCCACACGGAACUGAGACACGGUCCAGACUCCUACGGGAGGCAGCAGUAAGGAAUAUUGCUCAAUGGGAGAAAUCCUGAAGCAGCAACGCCGCGUGAGGGACGAAGGGCUUUUGCUUGUAAACCUCUGUAGUGAGAGAAAAAAAUCCCAAUCUUUGGGACAUGAUGGUAUCUCAAAAGUAAGCCCCGGCUAACUACGUG
RNAcentral lists this ribosomal RNA (480 nucleotides) under uncultured bacterium. RNAcentral's name for it is "partial 16S ribosomal RNA". It matches the Rfam family "Bacterial small subunit ribosomal RNA", at positions 28 to 507 of the family's 1533-position model. The record is from RNAcentral.